RNAcentral lists this ribosomal RNA (34 nucleotides) under Sargassum vestitum. RNAcentral's name for it is "partial 26S ribosomal RNA". The record is from RNAcentral. Lineage: Eukaryota; Phaeophyceae; Fucales; Sargassaceae.
UACCCCCGAUCAAGCAAGAAGACCCGCUGAAUUU